AUAACGGUCCUAAGGUAGCGAAAUUCCUUGUCGGGUAAGUUCCGACCUGCACGAAAGGCGCAACGACUUGGGCGCUGUCUCGACCAUGGACCCGGUGAAAUUGCACUGGUCGUGAAGAUGCGACUUACCCGCGGAAGGACGGAAAGACCCCGUGAACCUUCACUGCAGCUUGGCAUUGGCCGCUGGUCCCGCGUGUAGAGGAUAGGCAGGAGGCACAGAUCCGGAGGCGCCAGCCCCCGGGGAGCCGCCCUUGGAAUACUGCCCUCGCGCGACCGGCGUCCUAACCCGAGGCCGUCAACCGGCUCGGGGACCGUGCCAGGCGGGCAGUUUGACUGGGGCGGUCGCCUCCUAAAGGGUAACGGAGGCGCGCGAAGGUCCGCUCGGGACGGUCGGCAACCGUCCUUUUGAAUGCAAGAGUACAAGCGGGCUUGACUGCGAGGCCCACAAGCCGAGCAGGUGCGAAAGCAGGCUCUAGUGAUCCGGCGGCCCCGAGUGGGUGGGCCGUCGCUCAACGGAUAAAAGGUACUCCGGGGAUAACAGGCUGAUCUUGCCCAAGAGUCCACAUCGACGGCAAGGUUUGGCACCUCGAUGUCGGCUCAUCGCAUCCUGGGGCUGGAGCAGGUCCCAAGGGUACGGCUGUUCGCCGUUUAAAGCGGUACGCGAGCUGGGUUCAGAACGUCGUGAGACAGUUCGGUCCCUAUCCUCCGUGGGCGCAGGAGAAUCGAUGGAGGCUGCCCCCAGUACGAGAGGACCGGGGUGGACGCACCUCCGGUGAACCGGUUGUCGACCAACGGCACGGCCGGGUAGCCGCGUGCGGCGCGGAUAACCGCUGAAGGCAUCUAAGCGGGAAGCCGUUCCAGGGAUUAGUUCUCCUUCCGGUAAGGGCCCAGGUAGACUACCUGGUCGAUAGACGGCAGGUGCAAGGCUGGCGACAGCCUCAGCCGAGCCGCACUAAUCGCCCGAGCUCUUCCGGAA
Molecule: ribosomal RNA, 975 nt
Filed under: human gut metagenome
Description: bacterial LSU rRNA
Rfam family: Bacterial large subunit ribosomal RNA
Source: RNAcentral